This 497-nucleotide ribosomal RNA is filed under the name uncultured bacterium. RNAcentral describes it as "partial 16S ribosomal RNA". It matches the Rfam family "Bacterial small subunit ribosomal RNA", at positions 28 to 507 of the family's 1533-position model. The record is from RNAcentral.
GAUGAACGCUGGCGGCGUGCCUAAUACAUGCAAGUCGAGCGAACAGACGAGGAGCUUGCUCCUCUGACGUUAGCGGCGGACGGGUGAGUAACACGUGGAUAACCUACCUAUAAGACUGGGAUAACUUCGUGAAACCGGAGCUAAUACCGGAUAAUAUAUUGAACCGCAUGGUUCAAUAGUGAAAUACGGUUUUGCUGUCACUUAUAGAUGGAUCCGCGCCGCAUUAGCUAGUUGGUAAGGUAACGGCUUACCAAGGCAACGAUGCGUAGCCGACCUGAGCGGGUGAUCGGCCACACUGGAACUGAGACACGGUCCAGACUCCUACGGGAGGCAGCAGUAGGGAAUCUUCCGCAAUGGGCGAAAGCCUGACGGAGCAACGCCGCGUGAGUGAUGAAGGUAUUCGGAUCGUAAAACUCUGUUAUUAGGGAAGAACAAAUGUGUAAGUAACUAUGCACGUCUUGACGGUACCUAAUCAGAAAGCCACGGCUAACUACGUG